GAUGAACGCUAGCUACAGGCUUAACACAUGCAAGUCGAGGGGUAACGAGAGGAAAGCUUGCUUUCCUUGUCGACGACCGGCGCACGGGUGAGUAACGCGUAUCCAACCUGCCCCCAACUAGGGAAUAACCUUGCGAAAGUAAGACUAAUACCCUAUAAUUUCCUCAGAUGUCAUCUGACGAGGAAUAAAGAUUUAUCGGUUGUGGAUGGGGAUGCGUCUGAUUAGCUUGUUGGCGGGGUAACGGCCCACCAAGGCAACGAUCAGUAGGGGUUCUGAGAGGAAGGUCCCCCACAUUGGAACUGAGACACGGUCCAAACUCCUACGGGAGGCAGCAGUGAGGAAUAUUGGUCAAUGGGCGGAAGCCUGAACCAGCCAAGUAGCGUGCAGGAUGACGGCCCUAUGGGUUGUAAACUGCUUUUAUACAGGGAUAAAGUUAACCACGUGUGGUUAUUUGUAGGUACUGUAUGAAUAAGGACCGGCUAAUUCCGUGCCAGCCGCCGCCGUAA
RNAcentral lists this ribosomal RNA (506 nucleotides) under uncultured bacterium. RNAcentral describes it as "partial 16S ribosomal RNA". It matches the Rfam family "Bacterial small subunit ribosomal RNA", at positions 28 to 523 of the family's 1533-position model. The record is from RNAcentral.